Molecule: transfer RNA, 68 nt
Filed under: Ochotona thibetana (Moupin pika)
Lineage: Eukaryota; Metazoa; Chordata; Mammalia; Lagomorpha; Ochotonidae
Description: tRNA-Thr
Source: RNAcentral
GUCCUUGUAGUAUAACUAUUACCCUGGUCUUGUAAACCAAAAAUGAAGCAUAAACACUUCCUAGGACA